AUGAUCCAACUGGUCAUGCCAAACAUUAAAAUCAUUAAGCUAAUAGAAAUAAUUGGCAGCACGGUUGCCCACAAAACCAGAAACGACUAAAACCAAAAUCAGCGGAAUGGACACGACAGGUUGGGAGUGCCUACCGGAUGCCAAAAUCAGCCUACAGAACAGAUGCGAGCUACUCGAUUCCACACGAAAGUCCCCAAAAGCUAUAUAUAUCCGCACAAGGCAACAAUUAAUUGGAAUGAGUCUUUCAUAACUCAAUGAGUAGGCGCGGAAGUAAACAUGCGGAAACGGGAGAGUUUAGUUAUUUAUUUUAACCAGAACUAGUAUUAUCCAAGUCACCGCCCUUACAUUUUCGAACCCAUUUACCUUAACAGAAUCAAAAUCAUAACUGGUUCAUUGAAGCAUAUUCUGCAUACCAGGCAUAACAAAUUUCAGGCGUAUUUUAGAACUAUUUCACGUCCCAAUUCUCUUAGGCGCUAUCAGACAUGUGGAAACAGAAUUUAAAUGGAGCAAACUAGCCUCAGAAGUCCAUAAGUAAAUAACAGAAGCAUAGUCACAGAGAAACAGAAGUUCAUGAGCAGAAAUAGAGAAUGACAGAAUGCUUAUCUAAAGCUGAUCGGAUAUCCAGGAAAAAGAUGCUAAGGCUCAAACCUUUCCCCCAGCACCAACAAACAGAAAGAUUUAAUUAAAACAUUGCCCAACUUGUCUUUAACUCCUUAACCUUCACAGAAUUACGUCUGUAGCUAACCAUUCGAAUCAUAAGUUAGAUGGUAAGUACAACAGAUUCUAAGCUCACUUUGGAACUAAUUCAAGUGCCCAAUCCAAGAGUCUUAAGCAAACAGAUCAAACUAGAGUUUAGUUGACAGAAACUCACCUUGAAGGCACAUGUGCAAAAAACAAAGGCUUAUAGCAGCAAACAGCAACUUACGAAUCGAAACAGAUUAUCAAAAGCUCAGCCACAGAAAACAUAAGACAGACAUACCAAAUAUGGCAGAGCUUAAAGCUUACUUUCAAACUAGGCCAAACUUCAAGUCUCCCAGACUAAGUCAGAAUUGCCCAGCAAUUUAAACUAAGCAAAUAUGUCUUAGGCAUUCAUCACAGAGGAAAAAAAAAAUACAAUAUGACAAAGCAUGCACGCCUUAGAAGUGCAUGAACAUAAAACAGAACUUCAUUAAAAUAAACAGAUACAUAUUAGAGUAAACAAAUGUAUAUCAGACUCAUUCGGUGCCAAAGCCACCGAUGGAAUAACCGGUCUUAUUCGAUCAUUACAGACUCGUCCGGAACCAUAUUCAUCAGAUGGAAUAGCAUACUACACAGACGCAUUCAGCAUUAUAUAGAAAACACGAACAAUGUGGUUUAUACAGCAGAAUAGAUUUUUCCAGAAAGCCUUUUGAAGGUCAAAAGGUAUAGAAUGCUGGUUUCCCGUGUUACAGAUAUAUAUAUAUCUCAAAACUCCCACACUUUUUUUUUUGAGCCUCCCACACCACCUAAACAGAAUAAAAUCUCAAAACUCGUGUUUUCAGAAAGUUCCAGGAUUUCUAAGCAUAACUCAGUUUCAUUUCUUUACUAACAACUUCCAAACUAAAAUCUCAGAAUUUCCAAUCAUCAAUAUACCUCAAACUCUUACCUCAGUGGCCAACCCAAAGCACCCUAACUCCAAAUUGCUUCAGCUUGAGCCAAUUGUGGCUUGGCUUUGGUGUGUGUUUCUAAGCCCCAAAGUGCCGCUACAAUGCCUGAAGAUCUCAAGGGAAACUUGGGAGCUCAUGGAUAAAAGAAGAAAGCUUAAGUUUUCUUUCACCAAAGCAAGGGGCGGACAGAACAAAGGAGUUUCAAGCCAGCCUCGAAA
This 1843-nucleotide long non-coding RNA is filed under the name Theobroma cacao (cacao). Its description in RNAcentral is "long non-coding RNA (TCAC_LNC002548)". The record is from RNAcentral. Lineage: Eukaryota; Viridiplantae; Streptophyta; Magnoliopsida; Malvales; Malvaceae.